AUGAAUCAUAAUUUGAAACCAGUUGCACGAAUUUGUGUUCUUGUGUUUUUUGACGACAUUUUGGUGUUCUCUAAGUCAUUUUCUGACCACAUCCAACACCUCACACAAGUGAUGCAGCUGUUGAGAGCCAACCAAUGGAAAAUUAAAAUGUCCAAAUGUUCAUUUGCACAGCGGGAAUUGUCCUACUUGGGCUUUGUAAUCGGUGAGCAAGGGGUCUCGACUGAACCAGAAAAGAUUAUGCGUGUCCAACAAUGGCCACUGCCACACUCAGUUAAGCAACUCCGGCAAUUCUUGGGCCUUUCUGGAUACUAUCGCAAACUUGUCCGACAUUAUGGCAUAAUUGCUAAACCAUUGACCCAAUUGCUCAAGAAGAAUGCUCCUUUUGUGUGGACUAGCGAGUGCACAACAGCGUUGGAGGCUUUGAAGCAGACAUUGAUUACAGCCCCCGUCCUGGCCUUGCCGGAUUUCAAUAAACAAUUCACCAUUGAGACCGAUGCGAGCGAUUAUGGCGUUGGUGCAGUUUUGCAGCAAGACGGGCACCCAUUGGCCUUCUUGAGCAAGCCAUUGGGUCCGCGCAACAAGGGGCUUUCGACCUAUGAAAAAGAACAGUUGGCAAUCUUGUUAGUUGUUGAACAAUGGCGGCAAUAUCUGCAAUCUGCUGAGUUCGUGAUCAAGACCGACCAGCGCAGCCUAGUUCACCUCGAGGACCAACGUUUGCACACCUCGUGGCAACAGAAAGCAUUCACUAAGCUCUUGGGACUGCGCUACCGUUUGUGCUAUCGAAAAGGGUCUGACAAUGGUGCGGCAGAUGCCCUCUCCUGGCGGCCAAUCGGUGACUGA
RNAcentral lists this ribosomal RNA (840 nucleotides) under Triticum aestivum (bread wheat). Its description in RNAcentral is "partial small subunit ribosomal RNA". Lineage: Eukaryota; Viridiplantae; Streptophyta; Magnoliopsida; Poales; Poaceae. The record is from RNAcentral.